This 442-nucleotide ribosomal RNA is filed under the name uncultured bacterium. RNAcentral's name for it is "partial 16S ribosomal RNA". It matches the Rfam family "Bacterial small subunit ribosomal RNA", at positions 338 to 795 of the family's 1533-position model. The record is from RNAcentral.
CCUACGGGAGGCUGCAGUGGGGAAUAUUGGGCAAUGGGCGCAAGCCUGACCCAGCAACGCCGCGUGAAGGAAGAAGGCUUUCGGGUUGUAAACUUCUUUUAAGGGGGACGAGCAGAAGACGGUACCCCUUGAAUAAGCCACGGCUAACUACGUGCCAGCAGCCGCGGUAAUACGUAGGUGGCAAGCGUUGUCCGGAUUUACUGGGUGUAAAGGGCGUGCAGCCGGAGAGACAAGUCAGAUGUGAAAUCCACGGGCUCAACCCGUGAACUCCAUUUGAAACUGUUGCCCUUGAGUGUCGGAGAGGUAAUCGGAAUUCCUUGUGUAGCGGUGAAAUGCGUAGAUAUAAGGAAGAACACCAGUGGCGAAGGCGGAUUACUGGACGAUAACUGACGGUGAGGCGCGAAAGCGUGGGGAGCAAACAGGAUUAGAUACCCCAGUAGUC